CAUGCACACAGACACGCACACACAUGCACACAGAUGCAUGCACGCAUGCACUCACACACAUGCUCACUCACUCUCAGGCACACAAGCCAGAAAGGACUGAUUAGAGACAAGGGAGGGACAGUUGUCUGAGCCACCUGAGAACAGCCCUGUAUGCCCCGUGUGGCGCCUUGAAAGCCGUUCACUCAGAUCUCCCAAGUGUAAGGCUGCUGUUUGGGUCAAGAAAAUAAACUAUCAAACAAUGUCAUAGACGGUUGUGUCUGUGACUCUGGUCUAGCCAGACAUUUGGGAAAUGAAUGUCAUCCAUCCCACCUGAGGCAGGGCGAGGGUAGAGGGUGGCCCGGCGCUGCCCGAGGCCGAGGCAGGUCCCGCUGGGAGAAACACUGGCAGUCAGCCAGGCAUCAGUCUUCCCAUGGAGCUGCCGUUCUGCCAAGUUCCUGAGGCCUGGGUACUAUCUGCCUGUCUGUCAGUGCAGGUAAGAGGGACAGGCUUCAGGCCUUGGUGCCGAGUAGUUGGAUGAAAACACAAAAAGCCACAGCAGUGGCUGCCACAGUGACACGGUUGCUCACUGCGGGCUGCACCAGGUGCUACCCAUCUCUGUGACUUCAUGUCAUCCCCCAACAACCUGUGAUAGGGGCACUGCUACUCCCAUUUUACAGAAGAGGAAACUAAGUCACAGAGAGCCAAAUAAUUUGCACUGUAGUCUCAGCUUGGAAAGGAAGAGAAACACUCGCAGCAGUCGGGAAACUACCCUUUUCCUAAAUCUCAGGGAAGUAUACUUGGCCACAUCCCGCGUGGCAGUGUUUUCAAAGGGAAGCCCACACACACGGAUUUGUUCUGACCUUUGGAGCCCUUGGUUAAGCCAAACACAAGCUCAGUGAUGGUGGGUGUGAGUGGAGGUCCCCCCACAGAACAGAAGUCCAGAGCAUCAGUGAGCUACUGCUGCUUUCCUCACCUGCUGCACCCGACCCCUUCCCCCAGCAGCCCACCUGCCUGUCCUGGGCCUCUUCGCUGGCUUAGAGGUUGAUUUCCAAGAGCAAAAGGACUUCAUUAGCCACACCACGGAGGUCAGGAGCAUGGCUGUCACCUCUAAUUUGCCCGAACCCCAGUGACAACCUCAGCUGAUUGGUUGAUUCCAGGUACAAGGUGACAUCUGUGGGCCCCAUCUUAGCGGAACCGGGAGAGUGGGGCCCAGACCCCAGGGGCCAGCUUCUGCCUUCCUUUUGGUGGAGGUAUGCAGAGCUCCCGUGUGUGCCUGGCCCAUGCCAGGCUCUGCUCAGGCAGUGAAGCGCAUCUGCCUCCAGCCUCUCGCCUAUCUCAGGGACGAAGGGAACUGAAUAAAUCUGGGCCUCCCUGCCCCGCCAGGCUCCACUGGAGCCCUGGGAGACAACUGCCCUGGUUCCGCUCAGCUUGCAGCUCCCUCCCAGGGCCUCCUGACAGGGCCCUGGCCUGCACAUGGGAAGAAAUGGGCAGGCCCCCCGCCUUGGUUGCCCCUGGGGUGACAGGAGAUCCAGGCAAAGCAGGCAGCCCACCCCACACCUAAGCUCUGACCACAGACCCGGUGAGCCUGAGGAAGGACUGAGAUUCCAGCCGAGGUGGGAGAAACUGAGGCACAAAUGCAGAGGCCAAGAAAGCAGGGCCCUGAGGAUAUGUGACAGGGAGGCCUGGUGAGGGAGAGACAUAGAUGGAGGCCCAGAGAUGCAGGUCCUGGAGAGUGAGAGGAGCUGGCAAGACAGGAAGAGGAACCCAGAGACACUGCAGAAGGCUCUGAGCACACGGAGACGCAGACCCGGGGAAGGAAAUGAGACAAGAAAUUCACAGGCAGAGGGAGACUUUAGAAACAUCAGUAAGAGGCCGGGCACCGUGGCUCAUGCCUGUGAUCCCAGCACUUUGGGAGGCCAAGGCAGGCAGAUCACUCGAGCCCAGGGGUUCGAAGCCAGCCUGGACAACAUUGCGAGACCCUGUCUCUGUAUUAAAAAACUCAGCAAGAGAGGCAUAAAGAGAUGAAGUGAACGAACCACGAAGGCCCAGAGACACACACAGAGAGAGGGCUGGAGUCAGGAGCACCCAAGAGCACAUCCUGCACCCAGCAAAGUUGCGGGCACUUGCCACGUUUCGUCUCUCAUGUGUCCUGACCGUACAGACCACACCCAGACCAGGCCCUUGUGCACCUGUGCCUGGAGCCUUUCUCCUGAGCAAACACUACUGUCCUGGCCCCAGAGGAGUCAACUGCCUGGCCUUUGCUUGUCCUGUUCUCUGUUCAGGAUGCCUGGCGCGCCCCAGCCCAGCUUUCAUAUCUGUCUAAAUUAUGCACAUCCUUAGAUUCCACCUCUUCCAGGAAGCCCUCUCUGACUGGCCCUCUCCCUGAAGAAUCCCCCACCCUUCAUCAGCCUAUCACGUUCCCUCUGCAGGGAGCUGUUCUUAUCUUCCAUCCUUCCACCUUUCAUUCUAUCCGGAGCUCCUCAAGCAAGGGCAGGGACCACAAGAUUCCAGCGCUGGUGACCACGUCUCUACUGACUUGCGGAUUUGUCUUCAUUGCCUGGUGCCUCCUGUCUCUGGACCUGAAGGAGGGAGUAAAUGAAAAUUGAUGGAAAAUGAAUAAGCAGGUGCAGGAUGGCCUCCUCCACUCCCCAAACCUGGAUUCCCAGCCCUGUCUGUGCCGUCCACUCUCGUGCCUGGGGCUGCCCCCGGGGGCCUUUCCUGGCAGCCUAGAAGGAAGGCUCCCCAGGUACCAUGGCCUCACUAGCCCUCCGGGGUAGUCCUGGGGCUGUCAGGGGUGGUCAGGUUGCUCGCCAGCAAAGGGCUGGAAGUGUGCCCACAUCUUCUGGCUCCAGGGUCCCUGAGUGAGGGAGGGGUGGUCUCUGAGCCUCUUCUGGCUACCAGUGGGCCCCUCCAUAAGAGGACAGGCUCUCCGGGCCUUGGAACCCCCUUCUCCCUAUCCAGAUCCCAAUUCUCCAGGGCCCUGCAGGAAGUUUCAAACCAAAGAGAGAGCUUGUUUCCCUCAGCCCCGCACCCUGGCCUGCAGGUGGGUUUGGAAGAAGGGCAGGCCCUGUGUGAACGGAGCACUCUCCCCACGGCCCACCAGCCUCCUGCAGCCCUUCCCCAUUCAUCUGUUUUUUGCCCAGGCUAAGGCCACCAGCAUCCCCCUUAGAGUGUCCCUCAGGGUUGAGGCUGGGAGAGGCACCUGGCACCCCUGAGAUUCCUCCAUCAUGGCCCAGAAAGGCUGACUGUUUGCCUAGCGCUCAUCCUGGUGGAAACCUCAGCUCUGUGGGGGAGAUGGAGGUGGCAGAUGGGGCUUUGGGGGCUCCUUUCCCACUGUAGCCACCCCUUGCCCUGGCCGGCCCUGCUCUUUGUAUGGUGCAGUUUCCGGCCCUGGGUAGGGUUUUCAGGAAAACAGUCAGCAAGCAUUUCCUGAGUACCCGCUUUGCUCAAAGCCUGGCGGUCAGGCCGAGGGAAGAGACGCGUGCAUUCAGGGAUGGCCGUGCCCUCGGGUGGUGCCUGAAUCCAUUGAGGUCAAGGCAGGCAUUGGUAGGAAAAGAAACGCAAGCCAGACAGCGUCCUGUGGGAGAGGUGGGAGGUCCUGUCUCCCGGGCUCCUUUCCCUGGGGCUGAGGAGACUUUUCAGUGGAGGUAGGAUUUGAAUGGGUUCCUGGAGGGGGUGGAUUAGAUUCUAAUUUGUGAAAAUGCUUGUAGGCUUGUGUAGCCUUUUAAAUUCCCAAA
Molecule: long non-coding RNA, 3716 nt
Organism: Sapajus apella (tufted capuchin)
Lineage: Eukaryota; Metazoa; Chordata; Mammalia; Primates; Cebidae
Exons: 2
Source: RefSeq, a predicted model, not a curated record